RNAcentral lists this non-coding RNA (208 nucleotides) under Vibrio xiamenensis. Its description in RNAcentral is "Vibrio sp. G21 GcvB RNA". It matches the Rfam family "GcvB RNA". From Rfam's summary of the family: The gcvB gene encodes a small untranslated RNA involved in expression of the dipeptide and oligopeptide transport systems in Escherichia coli. Included several unknown homologues in alignment (Bateman A pers obs). Lineage: Bacteria; Pseudomonadati; Pseudomonadota; Gammaproteobacteria; Vibrionales; Vibrionaceae. The record is from Rfam by way of RNAcentral.
CAAUCGCUAGCCUGAACGGCUUGGUUCUCUGAAUCAAUUGGCUUAGUUAUUGCGAUGUUGUGUUUGCAAACUCGGUUUUCGAGUUAGGUAGAUUUCUACCAUUGUUUUGUUUCUUUAAUCCGGGAAACAAAACGUAUACUUCCUGUAUUUAUUUUUUGACCUGUCUGUCAAAUUUUUUUAGCACCGCCUAUUGGCGGUGUUUUUUUAU